CAGAUAAGCAUGGAGGCAAUAUCUGAAAGGGGCGGGGCUUGUCAAUAGGGGCGGAGAGAGUGUUCAGUGCGCAUGUGUGACAUUAGCAGAAAGCGGUUUUAACAUCGACAUGGUGGAUAAAAACAAAGAAAGAAAGCGAAGAAAGGCUUACGAUAAGGCAAGAAGUAGGACGUGUUAGGAUCAGCUUUCCAGCGCUGGAGAGAACUGAAGGAGCCCAUAUUCACAGAUUGGAGUUUCCCGAGUCAAUAACUCCUAACUGCUCUGCAAACAGUAGCCUUACUAAUAUGUUCUACAUCCAUGUUGUUAUACACAAAAUUACCAUUUGCAAAGAAACAUAAGGGAACGCAAAGCAUCUGCUCGGAUGUAAGAGCGAGGCAGCGAUGGUAAAGUGGGAAAGCCAAAGGAGGUGUGAAGAGGAAACGAUAGAUGAGCGAAACAGGGCUCCAGCAGGAGGAGGAUGAACUCCAGCCGGAGGUGGAGCUUGACCGAGAUCUAGGGCCUGUUGCAGAAAAGUAGAAUUAAGACAUCCAGGAUAAAUGCCUGAGCUGAGCUCAAUGAAUCCAAAACACGUGCGUACAGGUUUAAUUAGUUGCACAAAGACCAAGCCAGGAUGAGCAGACACGGUUCAUCAAGCCAGGUGUAACCAAUCCUGGAUAUGUGCGCGCUCACGGCUCACUCAAACAGACCCGCCACCAAUCACAGAUUCACCAUGGCAACAAGAGCGGCGUACUUUUCCCCGUCGGAAGCACAAAUCCUCAUGGAGGCAUACGGGGAGGUAAAAGAAAUAAUUAAGAAGAAAGGCAACACCGCCACAGUGAUAAAGCAAAGAGAAAAAGCGUGGCAAAGUAUUGCAGACCGCCUGAAUGCGCAAGUAAUGCACAAUAACACUCACCGCUCCGCUAAAAACUACAAUCCAAAUAGUUAAUUCACAUCUCCUAAAACGCAGUUGUACUCUGAUUAUGAAACAUUUGAAUUUUUAAUUGAAAUGGAUGCAGAUAUGAGUGAAGUUGUGUAAAGUAACUCCAUCACACUGUAUAAAUUAUCAAAGCCUUACAUUAUUACUACGUUCACUAGUAUGGUUUAAUCUUAACCGUUAUACUCUGCUUCUUAUGUUGUCCACCGAUUUUUCUCUGUUCUCCUGCUUUUAUUAAUGUAAAGCUGCUUUGAAACAAUGAAACAAUUGUGAAAAGUGCUAUAAAAAUAAAAUUGAAUAAAUAGAUGAGCUAAUAAUAAUCACUUUAAUUUAUAUAGCGCCAUUCAAAAGACCCAAGGUCGCUUGCUCACUGACUCCAUUGAAUGUUCUUGUGUGAUAAAGGAAGCGUCUCUUUGUGUGUGUGUGUGUGUGGGUGGGCCCCCAGAGUGCCACCAGCCAUGGACUGGGACAAUCUGGCAAUCUUCCCUGAUGACGACAUUGGUCGGCUGCCGAGGGACCAAUAUGUGUUGAAUGAUUUUAGUUAGUAUGUGUGCUUUCAAUUUUUGGUUAUUCUGCGGUGGCAGAAGAAUUUGGGGUUUUUUGUGUUCUCUCAUUUUAUAUAUAUAUAUAUUAUAUUAUAUAAAUUGGUUUGGCCUCUUAUGAUGUUUGUGCUGUAUACCGUGUGUACAGUAUACUGUAUACUGAGGGAGGCUACUGCAUCCAUUCAUUUGUCUGUUCAGUUGAUGUGUAUGGAUUUGUCCUGCAUUUAUUUCAGUGUGCAGACAUGCGGGUGUGUUAUAUACCGUUCUUUUUGAACGUGUAUUUAUCCUUUUGUAUCCUGUGUGACUUUGUUUUAUCCUUAUUCAAUAAAGGAACAUAAUGUUACACUUUGUGUUUUUAUAUUUAUAUGGAAUGUGUAUUUUAUACGACAGAGUAUUAGGGCCACACUAAGGAAGAAGGAAAAAGUCAUAAAUUUAUGAGGCUCUUUCUUUCUGCAGAAAACAUGCAUAUUCUUUUUACAGUCCUGAUACUUAUGACAAUGUGCUGAUGUAUUUAAUGUAUUGUAAACACUACUUAAUGUAUGUCCUUGUUUGUGAAACCAUACUGAAGAACAAUUACACGAAUGCCCCACAGCUGUCAUUUUAACAACUGUCCUACUCUAAAAUGACGGGCUACAAUAUUAUUAAAGACUUCAUUCUCUUUUCUCUUCAUUUUCUUUUUUUUCCCUCUGUGGCCCUAAUAUUCUAUCAUUUUAUAUAUAGCCUUAUAGACUAUUUGGAAACUGUAAAUUAUUUAAUGAUAGCAACAUCAUCUAAAAAUGAUCAUUUAUCCAAAAAUGAUUGAAAUUAAUGAUCACAAAUGUUUAAAUAAUGACAGUGGGUCUAGUUAUAUGUGAUAACAAUGUAUAGUGGGCAGUGGAAUAACUAUUGGUUUACGUUUGUGGUGACUGCUGACUGAGAUAAGGGAUGAGAUUAAAUAGAUCCUAGUACUUGGCCUGGUCUGGAGCAGGCUAGCUCCACAGAAUAAAUCUCCAUGGUAAUUUAUACCAUAACAUUGUACCGCCCCAUAAUCCAGCUUCAGUGAUCACGGAUAAAUUGAGCAAGGAUCACCAAGAUAUUCCGGCUUAAUCCCUUAUCCUUGUUUUGUGCAACAGGCCCCUGGACAGGGAGCUGGAGAACAAGUCACGUCAACAUAACCUGACCUCAGCUAACGUGCGCAGUAUUAUACACGUGAGUGUGAAGCUAUUCAUAUCAAUUCUUAUCUUUCAUUUAUGGAGAUCUGUGAUUGACAUCUUCACCCCCGCGGGAGGUGAUUACCAACGAGCAUGUCGUGGCAAUGAUGAAAGCCGCCUUCAAUGAGACCGAACCCGUUCCUGUGUUUGAGCCUAAGAUGACUCGCUCUAAGUUGAAGGAGGUUGUGGAGAAAGGAGUGAGGAGGAAGAUUCGUCUGAUGAAGAGUACCACCCUGAUGAAGAGGAGGAGGAUGAGACAGCCGAGGAUGAAAGACACAAUUAUUGUUUAUAUUCGAAAAGACCUCUAAUUUAUCAAAUCAAUAUGUAUCAAACUGAGGAGGUGUGUGUGUGUGUUGUAGACACUUCUGGAAAGUGAUUUGGAGAGUACAGCAUCAUCACCACACGGCAGUCGACUAAACCUUAACAGAUCCUACAGCGAAUGUGAGGUGGAAAACUGCUGAAACUGCUGAAAACAGCCCCAGACAGAUCUCCUGCAGGUCACAGCAUGGGCACACCAGGGCCCGGAGCCUCCACGACUCCAGACUGAUUGCAGAUUCAUGGAGAAACUUCACGCUGUGGAUGAGGAGCUGGCUAUUGGUUCUGACUGCAUGGACUCUUACC
Molecule: long non-coding RNA, 3266 nt
Organism: Tachysurus fulvidraco (yellow catfish)
Lineage: Eukaryota; Metazoa; Chordata; Actinopteri; Siluriformes; Bagridae
Exons: 4
Source: RefSeq, a predicted model, not a curated record